RNAcentral lists this microRNA (20 nucleotides) under Pteropus alecto (black flying fox). RNAcentral's name for it is "pal-miR-422c-3p". Its record names the gene pal-miR-422c-3p. The record is from miRBase by way of RNAcentral. Lineage: Eukaryota; Metazoa; Chordata; Mammalia; Chiroptera; Pteropodidae.
ACUGGACUUGGAGUCAGGAA